Long non-coding RNA from Penaeus chinensis, 1296 nucleotides. RefSeq lists it as uncharacterized. The record is from RefSeq and is a predicted model, not a curated record. Lineage: Eukaryota; Metazoa; Arthropoda; Malacostraca; Decapoda; Penaeidae. The transcript has 2 exons.
CUAUAAACUGUAUACACACGUAUAUGUAUCAUAUUUAAACUUUACAAAGUUAAGGUUUUUAUACAUUCCCUUUAGAAGUUUAUGGAAUAAUUAUUUUUAUCCAUACGAGAUGUCCGGAGCAUGCAGUGAGCUGAACGCUUGUUUGUUAACCCUGAACUCCUAAUUGGGUAAUUUAAAGAAAGAUGAACCAACUAUUAUAUAUAUUUAUAUAUAUAUAUUUUCUUUCAUAAUCUUUAUGUUAAUGAAUACCCUUAAUUUCCUGAAUAUCUAUCUCGCUUAACCCAAGUAUAUUUUAAAUGAAAAAAAAGGUAUUGUCGACAGUAUGACGCCAUUAUGAAGUGUGGGAAAUCCGAGGUGAAAACGAGGUUGCCUGUGGAAGGCUUAGCUGACACUCCUGAAGAUGAACGCAAGGCAAACUAAAAUUGCGAAUCGUAUUCGUAUCAUUGGUAGGAAAAUGGUCUCUCGCCUAGUGAAAUUUCCAGGGAGCUGGGUAUCUCCCGGUCUGUAAUUUACAGGUGGAUAAAGAGGUGGGAGGAGGAGGGCCCUGAACGAUCGCCCUCGUUCCCGUGCUCCACGAAAGGCAACCGAACAUCAAGAUGCUCGGAUCAGGGAGAUGGCGAACCCCUUCACCAAUGCAGUUAAAGUACAAGAACUGUAGCUCCCAAUAACAAGUCGAACGGUUGCAGAUGGUAUUAAUCACCGAACACAAGGCAUCAAAGGGAGCUUGACCGAACGUCAUUGUCUACAUACUGCUGGGCGAAUUGGAGGCGACCUUGGCGAUGAGCCUGAUUACUGGGGAUGGAUAUGAUAGACGAAACAUCUACGAAACUACGAGGCGUGGCCACGUGAUAUGUGAGGGGUGGAUAUUCCUGCAUGGCGUUGACGAACUCGCAGAAAUAGAGGGUAGAUUCAAUUUGGAGAAAUAUAUUGUAUUAGAAGUGUUUCUCCCGUCAGUACGUAGCUAUGACUUGCCUUUUCCAGAAACGAUCGUAUUCUUGCAGGGUAACUGCCCAAUACACACGUCGAGGGCGGAUACGAGAUGGUUUCGUGACCAAAACCACCUCGACGUCUUACCAUGGCCAAGCAAGGAAUGUGAUUUAACCCAAUCGUAAACGUCUGGGCAAAUAUAGUCAAUGUCUGGGAAACGGCAAAUGAAAGAACCUCGCCAAAGUUAAUAGAACAUACAAAGAGGGAAUGAGGAGUACUACGUAGGAAACCGGAACUUGUAUAUAAGCAUGUAGCCUCCGUCCCGGAGAGACUACGAGUUGGCCAAGGUUUUAAUAAAAAUGAAUUGUU